UCCAUGUGGGUUAUCAAAAUU
Molecule: non-coding RNA, 21 nt
Filed under: Caenorhabditis elegans
Lineage: Eukaryota; Metazoa; Nematoda; Chromadorea; Rhabditida; Rhabditidae
Source: RNAcentral